CAAUGUCAGAUCUCAUUUCUCUGAUGAUAAGGAUUUAGAUAAGUAUGUGGUGCUUCAGGUCAAGUGCUUGUCAGGUUCACUGCUCCCUUCUGGGAAGUCUCAGAAUGCCUGCCAGGCUCACACUCACCUAAAGCAUAGGUCAUUGUACUCUGUGCUGUGUGAGGUGACUACUAGAUUAAUUCCUUCUGAUUAGCUUGUGCACAGGUCCCAAGGAAACAUACCAUGAACAAGCUAGAGCCACAAUGAAGAAGAAAGGGGAGAUCAGUGAGCACUAGCAGGAUAAAUACGAUAGAAUCAAGCCCAUUCCCAAUUUUCCCCUCCCUGGACUCGUACUUUUAAUACACACAUUCAUCUAUAAUUCUUUUAUUCAGUAUAGGACAGAAAGAGCUAGAGAGAGAGAGCACCCUUUGUCUUACUCAUGUGCCUUCUAAAUAUAAGCAUUGUCACUCAUUUUAUUUUUUUCCCAAGUGCUUCUUAUUCUUUAGAGCCAGCUCAGUUUAAUUUAUCAAUGAAACAUACAACAAUGACUGUAUUUUAGAUGUAUGAAAGUCAUCUGGAACUUAACAUAUCACAAACAUCUCCUGAUUUCCUCCCUGCCAAUAAAGUCUUCUUCUCAUAGUCCACUUAUCUAGUUUGAUGACAAAUCAGCUCUUCUAUUUUUCUGGGUCCAAACUUGGAUGAUCAGCCUUAAUGGCUAUUUUUUUUUCUCUCUUACGUUCCAUAUUCAAUCAACUCUUCUAAAUAUAUCCAGGAUACAAAUUCUUCUCAUCACCUCCACUGCCAGCAAUCUGGUGAGAGCCUCUUACUUGGUUUUACUGAAAUAGCUUCCUACUGAUACCCCUCUUUGUCUUUGCCCCAUUCAGCAGUCAGCAUGGUCAAGUUAAAUGGUGAGUUAGGGCCUGUCAGCUUCUGUUACUCGGCUCAGCACCAUAUGAUGCUUUCAUAAUCAGGGUAAAAUUUGAAGUGCUUACAAUGGCUUAUAACACCUUACACAGUUUGUUCACUGUUCCCCACCUCUUUACCUCUGUUAAUACUUUUAAAUGGGUAACACUGGUUUGAUUACUAUUCUGUGAAUGUGCCUGCCAUAUUGUCUCUAUCUGGAGCUCUUCUUUGGGAAGAAGAGGAGUUUGGGUCCUUUCCCAAGCCCCUCCCUAAUGAGAACUUUCCCAUCUGAAAAUGCAGCAUAUGCACAUGUCCGUAUCCCUAUGCUCCUUCUCCCUCUUACUUGCAUUAUUUUUCUCCUUAGCAUUUUCCCAUCUACUGUAUAUUGUACUUGAUGUCAAAAUAUGUAGAAUCAUAGGUGACUUAAAUUUUUUCUAACUUCUGCAUUUGUCAAUUUUAAACAAUAAAAAUAUUUAGAGGAAGGAGGAAUCACUAUGGGCUGAGAGGGGCAGGAAAGUCAUUGUGGAGGAGAAAAAAAUGUUGCUGCAUCUUGCAAGCUUGGCAGUCUGUCUGAAGAUAGGGAGAGAGCAUCCUAGGUCAUAAUAAAACAUUUACAAAAUAUGGAGGGUACUUCGUGUAUAACUUAUUUUAGAAUCAGUGAAGAGAGUAGCCAGGCAAAUCUCCUCAUUCAUCACCAAAAUGUAGAAUGCACACUUAGAAACAGAUUGUACAAAACCUGAGUCAUUUUAGUCAUGUGUGUUUUUGAAUUGAAGAAUGCUAUGAAGAGAGCAGAGGCAGAAUUACUCUCCUAAAUUCUUCUAAAAUUUCGUUGAUCUUUUCUUUCUGAUAUUCCCACAUAAUCCUUAGUGUUCUUAGAAACAAUUUGUGUACAUAUUCCAGUAGUUUAAUGUUCCUAAAUAACUCAUUUUAUGCUUUAGUAGAAAAAAUUCUGUUUCAAUUGAGUGGCAUAAUUAUCCGUUUCUAUCAAGAUCUAAUUUUCAAGUCAUUUCCAGUGAAAAUUUUUCUUUAAAUAUUUUUAGAUGGAAAAGGAGAAAAGUAAUUAAAAAUGAUCAACCUAUAAAUAAAGCUUUGCAUACAUAGAAAUACAAAGAAUAUUAAUAUUUUUGCUUUGUUUUAUUUGGCUGAAGAAUUGUCAAAAGAUUUCUAUUAUAAAUGAUUGUUUUAUGCUGAUUUUUAAAUCUCAUUUAUAUCACUUGUGUGAUUGGGUAGAAGAUACCAUGUUUCAAAUAUAUUUCUCAUGUUCCAUAAAUGUGUUUUUCCCAUAUGUGGUACAAGGCUAUGGUUUCAGUACUUGGCUGUGUCAGUUAAGGCUAGGUCAGUGCUUGGUAGUGAAAUGAAGAGAUGAGACAGAAAUGCCACCAGGCUACUCAGAUGUGCCCUGCUUACUUUGAACUGGGACCUUCUCGGUAAAGGGGUACCAGGCAUGUUAUACAGCUUGUUUAACAGUGGUUAAUUUUUAUUAAGGGACAAAUGAUAUAGUUGGAGAAAAGACCAUCUCAAACACUCUCUAUGGCAGAAUGUAGAAACAUUUUUAAAGUUAUAUUCGAAGAUUUGGGGGCAGGGCAGAGAGUCAUUAUUAUGGGCUAAAAAAAUAGAUAGGAUACUAGUACAAAUCCUAACAAAAAAGAGUAUCACUGAGUGAGGCAGAAUUUUGGGGUCUUUUUUCUCUCAUUGAAAGCUCAUCCUAUCCAUAAUGCUUCUAAUGAUUUUCUGCCAGUGCCUUCAUUCAGAGAGCUCAGUCAUUUCUAAUGUAAGAUGAAUACUCCUGCCCUUUGUAUUUAUGAAAUGGAAUAACAAAUGAAUGUGAGUUUAGUGAAUUCACUAGGAUUUCUGGGAAAUACUUCCUUUUUAACACAACAGAGGAUGCAAACAUCCAAACACUUUAAUGUAAGGUGAUGGAGUCUCAUAUUAAAAUUAAAACACUCAGUGGAAAUACAAAUAGGAAAAGGAAAAGAAAGCAACUUAUCAGAAUGAUUGUUUAACUCUCAAUCAUACAGAACUAUGACAGAACUUUGUGUACGGUGAGUAGUUGGUAGCGAAGAGUCAGGGUGAAGCUUACGUUAGAGUCGGGGUCCAGUGGAUGAGAGAAUUGAUGAGGUUCAGUCAUAUACUUAAAUUAUUUUCUGAAUUAUCCUACAGUUUCAGGAGACCCCAGCACUGAAAAUGAAAAGGCAUCUGUAAAAUUUAUGACUCUAGAUUUACAGUAUAAAUAGUAGAAUUUUUAUCACCAGAAUCCUGGCCCUUCCCCCUUUUCUCUCCAGCUCCUUAUUCUUUACCCAACCUUAUCUUUGAACUUCAUUUCUAUCCAUUCAGAUUUGAUCUUUUAUCUCCUCAUUACCCUAUUUUGUACAUCUUUAACUCUCUUGAACCUAAUUCCUCACUUUAAUUCAGCAACUUUACUUCAUCUUCUAAUUUAGACUGAGAAGCUAGAUUCUGAUGUGCAGUGUUUCUGCAUCUGCCAAAUUUUACCUCUUGAGUUAGUUUUCUGAUAAGAGGUGGUAAGCUGUCCUUGGAUUGCACCCUAGCUCAGCAUCAUCCUGGCACAGCAUAUCAUUAGCACUUGCCAGUGUCCCCUUCCUGACAGAAACUUCAAUAUUCAACAUAGAGGACACCCAGUAGAUAACAGCAAUCACCAACAGUCCACAUACGGUACACAUAUGCCACAUACGGUUUAAUCUCUCCAAGAACAGUUGUAAGUAUGCAGUUUUAAAUGUGUUGGGAUAGUAUUUUGAUGUACAAAUUACAUUUCCUAGUAUUUCCUGUUACCUUAUGAAAAUUUCUAUUUGGGGGCAGCUAGGCUUGUGACAAAGGUAGUACUGCAGAAUAAAAAAAGUGUCAAUUUUUGGCUUUUGAGUUUUGAAAUAGAUAUUUUGUGGUUCAUGGUAGAGAUGAAUAUUUGAAUUUCAACAGUCUUGGACACAGAAGCUACACUAUUCUGAAGACCAGAUAAAGAGCCAGGCUACCAAGCCCACAAAUUCAACAAAGACUCCAUGGACUGGGGAAGGGAGAAGAGAGUAAAAGGAAAUGUUUGUUAGGAGAGUAUCUCUGAGCUCCUGUCUUUCCCAUCCUUCUCACCACUGUCUUCUCGGAGCAUACUAAAGCCCUGGAGAACUUUAGAGACUUGAGAUCAGAAGGAAUUUGUGGCUUUACCCAUCUGGAUGGAGCCCACUAGCCAAACAGAAGCCAUAGUCCCCAAUAUCUGAAGAGGCCACAUAGUUUUUUAGCACAGCUCAGAGGGUGAAAAAUAUUCUCACAUAUGUGUUCUUGAGGAUUUAGAUCUCAAAUUAGAAAAAUAUAUAUUAACCCUGUGUAUACUGCUGUCAGUGAUAUACAUUUUUUAAAUAAUACAUAUGCUAAUUUUAGGUACCAUUUUGCAUAUAAACCUGAGUGUUCUCUUGAGCAUACAUGCUAGACUUAUAUAUGUGUCCUGUUAUCUUUCUUUAUUUUGGGAUAGUAGCAGCUUUAUUGAAAAGCAUUAUUUUAUGUAGAGAAGGAUACUAACCCUUCAACUUGACUGCAUUAGUCAACAGGACAAAAGUGUCACCUGCAGGUUUCUAACUAGUAUGAAUUCUGCAUUUCUCUCCCCAUUAAUCAUACUCUUUCUUUGAGAUGAUAAUGUUCUCACCCAUCAGAAAAAAGUAAAGGUUUAUAGCUUAAAAAAGUAUAUUAUUCUUCAGUCCAAGACAUUGCCAUAGGAAGACCCUGAAAUAGAACAAAUAGAAUGGACUGGUGGUUACUUAAUUUUUUUAAAAAAAGAAUGCGUUCAGUUUAAUCUAAGUGGACUGGCAAACAAAUGCUUUGCAUCCAAACUAACUGUCCUUGGGGUGGUUUUUAGAGGUAUUGUGAAUAUAUUAGAGAUUUCAAAUUAAUUUCAUAUUCUCAAGUUGGUUGUGUGAAAAGGAAAAUAAUUUCUAAUCCCUUUUUGGCAGAUCCUGAUGAAAUGUUUGGCAAAAAGCUGUAUAUUUCAUGAAGAUGGAAAUAGUUUACAUCAAAUUAGAGAAAUAGCAUAGGUACUGUUAUCAAUACAUGAUUAAAUUUCAGGUAUAUACAAAACGGCAACAUUUCUGACAUCCUUACUUUUUAGACAGUGCAUCUCUGGAAUUCUUAGUUUAUAUUCUAGUCCUUAUAUUAUUUAUUUAUUUACAAAGCAAUUUCUGUCUAGUAGAGACAGAUUUUCAUUCAUUGUUUGGGUUGUUUGCAAACAGUAUGCAAACCAUUAAAUUUAGUGACAUAAACAUUUCCCUUUCAGAUAUUCUUUCUUUCCUUUACAGAAGUGUUUGCUUGGCUUUUUUCUUUUAUAAUUUUUCAUUUUAAAAUGUUUUCUUUUAAAAUUUCUUUUUAAAAAUUUUAACAUGUUAAAAUAUUGACAACAUGUCAAAUUUAGAAAAUACCUUCGAAGUAAGCUGGUUCUAGUCGCCUCAUAUUUAAACUAACCUCCUUAAAUCAAUUUCCAGACUAGGAGAAAGGAUUUGAAUUAUUUUUUCUUAAAUUUGAUUAGAGUAUGGUUGAUUUACAGUGUUGUAUUACUUUCAGGUAUACAGCAAAAUGAAUCAGUUAUAUUUUUAUAUAUCCAUUCUUUUUCAGAUUAUUUUCCCAUAUAGGUUAGUACAGGAUUUUGAUUUCCCUUUGCUAUAUCGUAGGUCCUUCUUAGUUAUCUGUUUUAUAUAUUGUGGUGUGUAUGUAUCAAUCCCAAACCCUUCAUUUGUCCCUGCCCACCCCUACCCCCAGUUUUCCCCUUUGGUAAUUAUAAGUUUUGAUUUUGAGAAGUUCCCAUUGUGGCACAGCGGAAACGAAUCCUACUAGUAUCCAUGAGGAUGUGGGUUCAGUCCUUGGCCUUCCUCAGUAGGUAAAGGAUUUGGCAUUGCUGUGAGCUGUGGUGUACUUUGUACACACAGCUUGGAUCCUGCGCUGCUGUGGCUGUGGUGUAGACCCCUAGACUGGAAACUUCCAUGUGCCGUG
RNAcentral lists this long non-coding RNA (5862 nucleotides) under Sus scrofa (pig). Its description in RNAcentral is "lncRNA (ENSSSCG00015012323.1)". Lineage: Eukaryota; Metazoa; Chordata; Mammalia; Artiodactyla; Suidae. The record is from RNAcentral.